AUACGUAGGGAGCGAGCGUUGUCCGGAAUUACUGGGUGUAAAGGGAGCGUAGGCGGGAGUGCAAGUCAGAUGUGAAAUACAUAGGCUCAACCCAUGGGCUGCAUUUGAAACUGCAUUUCUUGAGUGAAGUAGAGGUAAGCGGAAUUCCUGGUGUAGCGGUGAAAUGCGUAGAUAUCAGGAGGAACACCGGUGGCGAAGGGGACUUACUGGGCUUUUACUGACGCUGAGGCUCGAAAGCGUGGGGAGCAAACAGGAUUAGAUACCCUGGUAGUCCACGCUGUAAACGAUGAAUACUAGGUGUGGGGGGACUGACCCCCUCCGUGCCGCAGUUAACACAAUAAGUAUUCCACCUGGGGAGUACGGCCGCAAGGUUGAAACUCAAAUGAAUUGGCGGGG
This 396-nucleotide ribosomal RNA is filed under the name uncultured bacterium. RNAcentral describes it as "partial 16S ribosomal RNA". It matches the Rfam family "Bacterial small subunit ribosomal RNA", at positions 523 to 918 of the family's 1533-position model. The record is from RNAcentral.